This 1072-nucleotide long non-coding RNA is filed under the name Heterocephalus glaber (naked mole-rat). Its description in RNAcentral is "lncRNA (ENSHGLG00000031459.2)". The record is from RNAcentral. Lineage: Eukaryota; Metazoa; Chordata; Mammalia; Rodentia; Bathyergidae.
GUAAGUAAUAAAGUGGGGUGGUUUUAAGCCACUGAGUGCUGAGUUCGGAGCGGGUCUGCGGGCUGCACUAGAUACGACACAAACAUGGCUGCGUGGGCCGGGAAGAGAAUCAGCAUCACUGUGGAGUGAGGGGCCUCUGCCAGCCAAUCGUGCUGACAUGAAAACACACAAAACCGCCAUCCACAGAUGUGCACACACGCACGCCUCGCCAACACAGCUUCAGCUCAUUUGCAAAACCCAAAGCUGCUUGCAGGUGAGCUGGUGAACGAGAAGCAGGAAGAGGAAGCUCUUGAGGAAACAGUCAGCUCCGCCCCUGCGAGAAUGAGGCCGAACCCAAACCGCAGUGGAAAUGUCAGCACUGAGGAGGCGCAUCGCGGCUUGGCUUGUGGUGGACCCACUGCAUUUAUUGUAACUGGGUAACCCGAGUCUGUCCUGUCCCCAGUCCCCAGCACCACUGCCCCAUUCUAACAGGGUCAGCCAAGUUAAUUCUGCUAUGGAAAAGUGAAAGGAAAAGAGACACCAUAUUAAAGAAUCUUACCACAGUGAUAUAUGCACACCCAUGUUCAUAGCGGCACAGUGCAUAAUAGCUAAAGCUUGGAAACAGCCCAAGUGCCCGUCAACUGGAAACUAGAUAAAGAAGAUGUGGGUUUUUUUAUAAAAUGGAGUACUACUCAGCCAAAGGAAUGAGAAACUAGAGGCAUUUUAUAGCUAAAUGGAUGCAUAUUGAGGCCAUCCUCUUAAGUGAAAUAAAUAGGACACACACACGUGUAAAUACCGAAUCGUUUCUCUAGUGUGAGAAACUGAAACUGUAAUUAAGGAUUAAAAUGCUUAAAAUGAAUAAUGGAUAAUUUGAAAUAAGAAGAAAAGGUCCAAAGGGGUUGGGGAAGUAGGAGGGGUAAGGGAAAGGAAAAAUGAGAAAUGGAAAAAAUGGAAACAAAGUCUUUGUAAAUAGGGAAGGGUGGAGGGGUGCAGGGAGGACAGGGAAUGGGGAAAAAAUAAGAACCAAGAUGCAUCAUGCACAGGUACAAGCACCCAAUGAUAAAUGUAAAUGUAUUGUAUACCUAAAAUGUAC